UUAGGUGACUAUAGCGAUGGGGUACCACCUCUUCCCAUUCCGAACAGAGAAGUUAAGCCCAUCAGCGCCGAUGGUACUGCACUACAAUGCGGGAGAGUAGGUCGUCGCCGAUC
This 113-nucleotide ribosomal RNA is filed under the name Bacteroidales bacterium. Lineage: Bacteria; Pseudomonadati; Bacteroidota; Bacteroidia; Bacteroidales. The record is from RNAcentral. RNAcentral also lists the same sequence under 1 other name.